AAACUCAAAGGAAUUUGACGGGGACCCGCACAAGCGGUGGAGCAUGUGGUUUAAUUCGAAGCAACGCGAAGAACCUUACCAAGUCUUGACAUCGGAAUGACCGUCCCGUAACGGGGGCUUCCCUUCGGGGCAUUCCAGACAGGUGGUGCAUGGUUGUCGUCAGCUCGUGUCGUGAGAUGUUGGGUUAAGUCCCGCAACGAGCGCAACCCUUAUCCUUAGUAGCCAGCAGGUAAAGCUGGGCACUCUGGGGAGACUGCCAGGGAUAACCUGGAGGAAGGUGGGGAUGACGUCAAAUCAUCAUGCCCCUUAUGAUUUGGGCUACACACGUGCUACAAUGGCGUAAACAAAGGGAAGCUAAGCCGCAAGGUGGAGCAAAUCCCAAAAAUAACGUCUCAGUUCGGAUUGUAGUCUGCAACUCGACUACAUGAAGCUGGAAUCGCUAGUAAUCGCAGAUCAGAAUGCUGCGGUGAAUACGUUCCCGGGUCUUGUACACACCGCCCGUCACACCAUGGGAGUUGGUAACGCCCGAAGUCAGUGACCCAACCGCAAGGAGGGAGCUGCCGAAGGCGGGACUGAUAACUGGGGUGAAGUCGUAACAAGGUAGCCGUAUCGGAAGGUGCGGCUGGAUCACCUCCUUUAUG
RNAcentral lists this ribosomal RNA (641 nucleotides) under uncultured Lachnospiraceae bacterium. RNAcentral's name for it is "bacterial SSU rRNA". It matches the Rfam family "Bacterial small subunit ribosomal RNA", at positions 897 to 1533 of the family's 1533-position model. The record is from RNAcentral. Lineage: Bacteria; Bacillati; Bacillota; Clostridia; Lachnospirales; Lachnospiraceae.